This 818-nucleotide ribosomal RNA is filed under the name uncultured bacterium. RNAcentral describes it as "bacterial SSU rRNA". It matches the Rfam family "Bacterial small subunit ribosomal RNA", at positions 1074 to 1476 of the family's 1533-position model. The record is from RNAcentral.
UUUGGUCAAGUCCUAUAACGAGCGAAACCCUCGUUUUGUGUUGCUGAGACACGCGCCUAAGGAGAAAGUCUUUGCAACCGAAGUGAGCCGAAGAGCCGAGUGACGUGCCAGCGCUUCUAAUUGAGUGCCAGCACGUAGCUGUGUGCUGUCAGUAAGAAGGGAGCCAGCGCCUUUCGAAGCACUUUCUAGUGUGCUGCGCGCUUUAGUUUGAUUGCAGCUAGCGCGCUUUACUAAUAACAUAGAAGGGCUUUUCUCGCUUGUUUAGUAAAGUCAAGUUUUUGGUCUUAUCUUGCAGGUGACGACGACGUCGAGUUGGCGGCGGAGAAAGACUCGGCAUUCAGGCGAGCCGCCCGGUGGUGUGGUACGUAGUGGGUUUAGUACGCCCCGCCAAAACAAAACGGCUCCGAAACAAACAAAAAGGUGCGUGCCGCACUCACGAGGGACUGCCAGUGAUAUACUGGAGGAAGGUGGGGAUGACGUCAAGUCCGCAUGGCCCUUAUGGGCUGGGCCACACACGUGCUACAAUGGCAAUUACAAUGGGAAGCAAGGCUGUAAGGCGGAGCGAAUCCGGAAAGAUUGCCUCAGUUCGGAUUGUUCUCUGCAACUCGGGAACAUGAAGUUGGAAUCGCUAGUAAUCGCGGAUCAGCAUGCCGCGGUGAAUAUGUACCCGGGCCCUGUACACACCGCCCGUCACACCCUGGGAAUUGGUUUCGCCCGAAGCAUCGGACCAAUGAUCACCCAUGACUUCUGUGUACCACUAGUGCCCACAAGGCUUUUGGUGGUCUUAUUGGCGCAUACCACGGGUGGGGUCUUCGACU